GCUGGCAGGUAGCUCUCUGCAACUCUCACAUGAUCGCCCACUGAAGCCAAGCAGGGCUAAGCCUGGUCAGUACCUGGAUGGGAGGAGACCACAUGGGAAAGCUAGGUUGCUGCCGGAA
This 118-nucleotide ribosomal RNA is filed under the name Danio rerio (zebrafish). The record is from RNAcentral. Lineage: Eukaryota; Metazoa; Chordata; Actinopteri; Cypriniformes; Danionidae.